AUAAGACGAGAAGACCCUAUGGAGCUUUAAUUAUUUAACCCAACACUUCCUUUAUUCUACUCUACAAUGAGCCUAACCAAGGAAAUCCCUGGGUUAAAAAUUUUGGUUGGGGUGACCUCGG
This 121-nucleotide ribosomal RNA is filed under the name Oryctolagus cuniculus (rabbit). RNAcentral's name for it is "partial 16S ribosomal RNA". The record is from RNAcentral. Lineage: Eukaryota; Metazoa; Chordata; Mammalia; Lagomorpha; Leporidae.